Molecule: long non-coding RNA, 831 nt
Organism: Triticum aestivum (bread wheat)
Lineage: Eukaryota; Viridiplantae; Streptophyta; Magnoliopsida; Poales; Poaceae
Exons: 2
Source: RefSeq, a predicted model, not a curated record
AAAUAGUCUAGUCUGGCGUUCACGUAGGAGUCAGCGCACGCGCCGUUCCGUUCCAACAAGAAGAAGAGAAGCAGCGAGCGUCCCCCCUACAGCUCGUUCCACAACCGCUCAGGCGAGCAGCACCGUACAGCAGCAUCCGCCGGAGGAGGAGAUGGAGAUGGGGCCGGGUUCGCGGCGCCGCCGGUAGCUGGAGAUCCUGUGCGACGUCCUCCUCCCGCCGCUCGGCGUCUACCUCCGCCACGGCUGCUACUCCACGCGGUUCUGGAUCAGCGUGCCGUGCACCGUCCUCGGCUACUUCGCCUGCCUUUUCUUCGUCACUGAGGCCCCCUUCAUGGGCUACCUGCACGACUACCUCGCCCUCCUUGGUGCCUUGGUGCUACUCUGCCACUGCAGCAAGGGUUGUUACCUGCACAACCUGCUCGCCUUCCUUGGUGUCUUCCUCCUACUCGGCUACCACCCCAACAAGGACUACCUGCACAGCUACCUCGGCGCCGUCUGUGUCUUCGCCCUAUUCGUCCGCUACCCCAGCAACGGCGACAACGGAGAAGUCGACGAGGAGGACGACCCCGCCGCCGCCGCCUCCUACGUCUCCAUCGCCUAGCCUGACCGACCACCCAUCUCUCGCUAGUUCGAGGUUAGUUAACCAGACAAUAAAGCUACGAGUAGCUAGCAGAAGAUGUGGUUUCAUAAUCUGCCAAAUACUUGUCGAGAACUCGUGGUAUACAUCGACAAUGGAUCGUACUAAGUUGUCCCGAGCUCGUGAGUACUCCAUUAUGACGGUUUGUUUGCCAGGUUAAGUUGUACUGAAUAUUAUACAUUUUAUUACUACUA